This is a non-coding RNA of Triticum aestivum (bread wheat), 115 nucleotides long. The record is from Rfam. NCBI's taxonomy places the organism in Eukaryota, Viridiplantae, Streptophyta, Magnoliopsida, Poales, Poaceae.
AUUAUACUCCCUCCGUCCCGAACUACUUGUCGUAGAAAUGUAUGUAUUUAGAGCUAAAAAAUGUCUAGGUACAUCCAUUCUUGCGACAAGUAAUUUGGGACAGAGGGAGUACUAU